UGGUUCUGGCAUCGAUGAAGAACGCAGCGAAAUGCGAUAAGUAAUGUGAAUUGCAGAAUUCAGUGAAUCAUCGAAUCUUUGAACGCAUAUUGCGCCCUUUGGCAUUCCGAAGGGCAUGCCUGUUCGAGCGUCAUUACACCCCUCAAACUGAACUGUUUGAUGUUGGGCAAAGCCUGGAAGGCCUGCCCCAAAGUUAGCGACGGUUUCAACCAACCUCAAGCGUGCAAGUAUCGUUAUGGGUGAAGGUUGAGGCCUGUCUUAUGUCUAAACAUACCUAAAUGUUGACCUCGGAUCAGGUAGGAAUACCCGCUGA
Molecule: unclassified non-coding RNA, 313 nt
Filed under: uncultured fungus
Lineage: Eukaryota; Fungi
Description: partial contains 5.8S ribosomal RNA and internal transcribed spacer 2
Rfam family: 5.8S ribosomal RNA (bases 1-133)
Source: RNAcentral